RNAcentral lists this ribosomal RNA (302 nucleotides) under Clostridium haemolyticum. RNAcentral describes it as "partial 23S ribosomal RNA". It matches the Rfam family "Bacterial large subunit ribosomal RNA", at positions 2627 to 2925 of the family's 2925-position model. The record is from RNAcentral. Lineage: Bacteria; Bacillati; Bacillota; Clostridia; Eubacteriales; Clostridiaceae.
CAGUUCGGUCCCUAUCCGCCGUGGGCGUAGGAAAUUUGAGAGGAGCUGUCCUUAGUACGAGAGGACCGGGAUGGACCAACCUCUGGUGCACCAGUUGUUCCGCCAGGAGCACAGCUGGGUAGCUAUGUUGGGAAGGGAUAAACGCUGAAAGCAUCUAAGCGUGAAGCCCACCUCAAGAUUAGAUUUCCCAUAGCGUAAGCUAGUAAGACCCCUGAAAGACUAUCAGGUUGAUAGGUUGGAGGUGUAAGUACAGUAAUGUAUUCAGCUGACCAAUACUAAUAGGUCGAGGGCUUGAUCAAAUA